This is a long non-coding RNA of Adelges cooleyi (spruce gall adelgid), 393 nucleotides long. RefSeq lists it as uncharacterized. The transcript has 3 exons. The record is from RefSeq and is a predicted model, not a curated record. NCBI's taxonomy places the organism in Eukaryota, Metazoa, Arthropoda, Insecta, Hemiptera, Adelgidae.
UAUCUCUUGUGGUAAGAUUCCUAUUUUAAGUUUUUAAAAAACUUUUACGGUUGAAACAAACUUGAAAUGUUUUUUUAGUGCAUUUUAAUUGUUGCAUUGUUCUGUUGUAUUCAAAAUGGCAAUGCUGAUGAUGAUGAUGAUCGCGUCAGGGAGCUGCAAACAUAUUUUAUAACUAACGUGGAUAAGGCGACUUAUUUAUUGUCCCCGGAAAAUGCUACCUCUUAUAUAAAAAGCCACUAUUCUGUGGAUAAAACAUAUUCGGCUGGCCUCUGUUGGAUUGAAUUGCUGAGCGAAAUUAAGAGCAACGGGGAAAUAUUCUUAGGAUAAUGAAGAAAUAGCUAACGCGAAAUAUACUGGUAUAUAAUAUACAGUACAUAAUAUUAUUUAUUUAUA